UACAGCCACAUCAUGUUGAAACACUGGUUCCCAUAUGGUCACUGAAGUUAAGCAACAUUGAGCCUGAUCAGUACCUAGAUGGGUGACUGCUUAGAAAU
RNAcentral lists this ribosomal RNA (98 nucleotides) under Acanthosepion pharaonis. Lineage: Eukaryota; Metazoa; Mollusca; Cephalopoda; Sepiida; Sepiidae. The record is from RNAcentral.